GUCCUUUUGCAGUUUGUAAGCAAGAUGAGUGUGUGUUCAUUCCCAUAUGUGAGAUGUGCCUCCCUCAAACCUUGUUUCCUGUCGGCACAUUACCUGUCUGACA
Molecule: small nucleolar RNA, 103 nt
Organism: Pan troglodytes (chimpanzee)
Lineage: Eukaryota; Metazoa; Chordata; Mammalia; Primates; Hominidae
Rfam family: Small nucleolar RNA U13
Source: Rfam